This 497-nucleotide ribosomal RNA is filed under the name uncultured bacterium. RNAcentral describes it as "partial 16S ribosomal RNA". It matches the Rfam family "Bacterial small subunit ribosomal RNA", at positions 28 to 507 of the family's 1533-position model. The record is from RNAcentral.
GAUGAACGCUGGCGGCGUGCCUAAUACAUGCAAGUCGAGCGAACGGACGAGAAGCUUGCUUCUCUGAUGUUAGCGGCGGACGGGUGAGUAACACUUGGAUAACCUACCUAUAAGACUGGGAUAACUUCGGGAAACCGGAGCUAAUACCGGAUAAUAUUUUGAACCGCAUGGUUCAUAAGUGAAAGACGGUCUUGCUGUCACUUAUAGAUGGAUCCUCGCUGCAUUAGCUAGUUGGUAAGGUAACGGCUUACCAAGGCAACGAUGCAUAGCCGACCUGAGAGGGUGAUCGGACACACUGGAACUGAGACACGGUCAAGACUCAUACGGGAGGCAGCAGUAGGGAAUAUUCCGCAAUGGGCGAAAGCCGGACGGAGCAACGCCGCGUGAGUGAUGAAGGUCUUAGGAUCGUAAAACUCUGUAAUUAGGGAAGAACAGAAGUAAGAGUAACUGUGCACGUCUUGACGGUACCUAAUGAGAAAGCAACGGCUAACUACGUG